RNAcentral lists this ribosomal RNA (492 nucleotides) under uncultured bacterium. RNAcentral describes it as "partial 16S ribosomal RNA". It matches the Rfam family "Bacterial small subunit ribosomal RNA", at positions 29 to 507 of the family's 1533-position model. The record is from RNAcentral.
AGUGAACGCUGGCGGUAGGCCUAACACAUGCAAGUCGAACGGCAGCACAGUAAGAGCUUGCUCUUACGGGUGGCGAGUGGCGGACGAGUGAGGAAUACAUCGGAAUCUACUUUUUCGUGGGGGAUAACGUAGGGAAACUUACGCUAAUACCGCAUACGACCUACGGGUGAAAGCAGGGGAUCUUCGGACCUUGCGCGAUUGAAUGAGCCGAUGUCGGAUUAGCUAGUUGGCGGGGUAAAGGCCCACCAAGGCGACGAUCCGUAGCUGGUCUGAGAGGAUGAUCAGCCACACUGGAACUGAGACACGGUCCAGACUCCUACGGGAGGCAGCAGUGGGGAAUAUUGGACAAUGGGCGCAAGCCUGAUCCGGCCAUACCGCGUGGGUGAAGAAGACCUUCGGGUUGUAAAGCCCUUUUGUUGGGAAAGAAAAGCAGCAGGUUAAUACCCCGCUGUUCUGACGGUACCCAAAGAAUAAGCACCGGCUAACUUCGUG